RNAcentral lists this ribosomal RNA (429 nucleotides) under uncultured bacterium. Its description in RNAcentral is "bacterial SSU rRNA". It matches the Rfam family "Bacterial small subunit ribosomal RNA", at positions 28 to 487 of the family's 1533-position model. The record is from RNAcentral.
GAUGAACGCUGGCGGCGUGCCUAAUACAUGCAAGUUGUGCGGUAACAGAGAGAGCUUGCUCUCUGCUGACGAGCGGCGGACGGCAGAGUAACGCGUAGGAACAUACCCCAAACUGAGGGAUAACUGCUCGAAAGAGUAGCUAAUACCGCAUGUGGUCUUCGGAUUAAAAGCUUCGGCGGUUUGGGAGUGGCCUGCGUCCGAUUAGCUAGUUGGUGAGGUAAUUGCUCACCAAGGCGACGAUCGGUAGCUGGUCUGAGAGGAUGAUCAGCCUGACUGGAACUGAGAACGGUCCAGACUCCUACGGGAGGCAGCAGUAGGGAAUUUUCCACAAUGGGCGAAAGCCUGAUGGAGCAACGCCGCGUGCAGGAUGAAUGCCUUCGGGUUGUAAGCUGCUUUCUGUGUGAAGAAUAAUGACGGUAACACAGGAAU